RNAcentral lists this ribosomal RNA (211 nucleotides) under uncultured bacterium. RNAcentral describes it as "partial 16S ribosomal RNA". It matches the Rfam family "Bacterial small subunit ribosomal RNA", at positions 524 to 734 of the family's 1533-position model. The record is from RNAcentral.
UACGUAGGGGGCAAGCGUUAUUCGGAAUUACUGGGCGUAAAGGGCGCGUAGACGGUGUGGCAAGUCUGAUGUGAAAGGCAUGGGCUCAACCUGGGAACUGCAUUGGAAACUGUCAUGCUAGAGUGCCGGAGAGGUAAGCAGAAUUCCAAGUGUAGCGGUGAAAUGCGUAGAGAUUAGGAGGAACACCAGUGGCGAAGGCGGCCCCCUGGAC